CCAGCCAUCAUCAAGCCCAGAGUAGACCCCAAAAGAGGAAAGUAAGACAAGAAUGAGGGUCAUCAUGGGGAGAAGGAAGUCUUGGAGAGAACCCUCACUUGACUUUGGCAGCUUCUGGAAGAUGUUGCAGCUCUGAAGGCAUGUUUAGAAUAUCAGGAAAAUGCUUCUCCAGGAUCAUGAUCAGGAGGUCAAUGUCACUCUUCUCUGGGAUGAACUUGAGGAGCUGCAAAGAGCAGGCGCAAGUCACACAAGCAACUGGUUUCCCAAAGGAUCCAAAAAACUGAGAGGGAAGAGAUUUGGGGAAGAUGUCACUUUUCCUCAUCUGACUUUGCCUUGGAGUCAGAUGGGAGAAUGACUCCUGGAGAACACUUAGCCUUUUCCAGCUUUCCCCAAGAAAGGCUGGCCCAGGGAGGCUUCUAUAAACCUUCUCCCUAACUCUU
Homo sapiens (human) is the source of this 440-nucleotide long non-coding RNA. Ensembl annotates it as DAAM2 antisense RNA 1. Its record names the gene DAAM2-AS1. NCBI's taxonomy places the organism in Eukaryota, Metazoa, Chordata, Mammalia, Primates, Hominidae. The record is from Ensembl.